RNAcentral lists this transfer RNA (80 nucleotides) under Millerozyma farinosa. RNAcentral describes it as "transfer RNA-Leu". It matches the Rfam family "tRNA". Rfam says of the family: Transfer RNA (tRNA) molecules are approximately 80 nucleotides in length. Lineage: Eukaryota; Fungi; Ascomycota; Pichiomycetes; Serinales; Debaryomycetaceae. The record is from RNAcentral.
GCGGUUAUGAUGAAAAGGUAGACAUAGGACACUUAAAAUGUCCGGGCAAAGCCGUGUAGGUUCGACUCCUACUAACCGCA